AGCUAAUAGGCUCGUUUAAUUUUUUUUGUUAAUAAGAUUAAACUUAAGAAAACAGAGCUUACAAAUUUAAAAAAUGUGAUUUAUAUUUUUAACCGGUUUUUAGUAUUUACUCAUAAAGUUUAGUAAAAAAAAAUUGAAAAAAUCCUGUUGAUUGGUUACAGUUUUGGAGCUACGUUGGUUUACAACUUGUUUCUUGAAAUCGCAUCUUCAAAAUGAUUGUGUCAGUGAUUUUUAUUUUAUUCAACCUGAACUUUUUAUUUUUGUCUUCGACAAAUGCAGCACUUUCUGCACCCAAAGAUCCUAAAGUCCGAAGCCCUAUUCAAGUCCGAAACCGAAGCCCUAUUCAAUCUGAACUGUUUGGUGGCUCCAGAGUACGAAAAUUUUUUGUUAACUGCGAGGAAAUGUGUUAUCGCGAUUGGGAAGAACGAGACAAGGUAGCCGACCUAAUGAAUUUGAACGACUGGCGGUGUUCAAAGAUCAAACUAUGGGGAAUUAGAUGUUACUGCGUAGGCCGUCAAAACUGUAGUUGUGGUGAAAACUGCUAUAUUGAAGAUUGGGAGAGACGUGAUAAUGAAGCAAAGGCAGCCGGAGUAUACGACACGCAACGUUGCUCGUUCAACGUAAAUGAUGGUGAUAGAUGCUAUUGUUGGGGUAAACGCUGUUUAUAAUUAACAAGUGUAUGAGGGGCUUCUAGCAUUAUUGUCUUUAUACUCAAUAAACUAGUAUGAAACAUUUGUGCAAAUGCAUAGCCGAUCAAUUAAUUGGUCGUAUCUAUCAAUUUGUCCCACUAGUUAUUUUUUAUAUAUAUUUAAUAGAAUAAUUUUUCGAGAUAAAAUUUAAAACA
Hydra vulgaris (swiftwater hydra) is the source of this 844-nucleotide long non-coding RNA. RefSeq lists it as uncharacterized. The record is from RefSeq and is a predicted model, not a curated record. NCBI's taxonomy places the organism in Eukaryota, Metazoa, Cnidaria, Hydrozoa, Anthoathecata, Hydridae.